Molecule: long non-coding RNA, 1977 nt
Filed under: Anser brachyrhynchus (Pink-footed goose)
Lineage: Eukaryota; Metazoa; Chordata; Aves; Anseriformes; Anatidae
Description: lncRNA (ENSABRG00000005614.1)
Source: RNAcentral
CGGGACAUAAAUCUCAGCUUGUGUCUUUCCUGGCUGUGCUCCUGCGGACGAAGCACCACGGGCCAGAUUCCGGCAGAGUUAUUCCUGCUCGCUCUCACCUUGCUUUACAAGCCCUAAUUCAAAUUGAUGGAGCUCUUCACACAAAAAGCUGCUUCCCGGUGUGAGGGUGGCAGGACGUGGCCAGCAGAUCAGCGUUUCGUGCCUGCCCGCUGCUUUCCCCUCUUCUCUUCCCUCUCUCCCCACAGCGAGUGGUCAGCGUUCUCACCGCCCCGGCGUGUUGACAUGCCUGAAAUAUCUCUGCUUCGCUGCCUGUGCUCUUGGAAGUAUUUUGCUGCUCUCUCACCUCUCCAUGAGAGAGACACAUUCAUCUGUCAGCUUAUCGGAGGAAUUUCCAACAAUCCGUGGCAGCGCUACAAGUCUCGAUCUUGCUGACCGUCAGCAAAGCAUACAAGCGGCUUGGUGGUGCAGGAGGGACCCAGGAGGAGCAGCCGGACCCCCCCCCUUCCGAUGGCCUCGGGGGGUCCCGGUGCGCCCCCGGCCCCGUGCGGGGGCUUCGGGGCUGCGGGGCCCGGCGCGGCCGGAGCUGCUGCUUCCCGCGAGUGCCCUCUCCUGGAAGCGGCUCGGGGCUCCUCCCCGGGCUCCUCCUGGGUGCCGAGCACCCGCCUGGAACAACCGUGAAGUUUCGGAGCCCCAAAUCCUGCCGGAGGCUCCCCGUACCCCCCGAGGUAGCCCUGGGGCAGCGGCCGUCCCUGUGGUGUCCUGUCUUCGUCCCCUGCCCAGCCAGCGCUGUGCUGGCACUUGUCCCGUUAGCACACUGCGUGUGUCCUAAAGGAAAGGGGGAAUUUACUUUCUGUAUUCCCGGGUGUUUUGUUUGGGGUAGAUCCUUGCAUUUUCCAGAAUUUGGGUUUAAAGACCGAAAGGUGUCACAGCGAGGCUGGCCUGCAGCCCUGCCCCGGAGAGUUUCUCAGCCCGCUGUGAAAAGCAAGCUCGGAGGCAGAGAGCUGCUCCUGGUGCUGGUUGCACGUGGAUGGACAUCGCCCUAACCACGGGGCAGAUUUUCUCGGGGCAGACUGGGACAAACCUCUGCGCUUCUUCCCUGCGGGAACCUCUCCUUUCCCUCCCCUGCCACCAUCACACCACUCCAGGCCGAUGAAUCCUUCUAAAAAUCCCUUUUGUCUGAAACUGGGGCACAAGGAGCAUUACCCAGAAGCAAUAGUUUUUCUUAUAACCAAUUAAAACACCCAGCGAGCCGACGGCUGGUUGGAAGGCAAAGGUCGUUCCCCCCGCGAGAUCCCAGCGUGAUGAACCAGUUAAGAGGAACUCAGGCCAAUUUAUUUCCUGAUAGAUAAUGAUGGGAGUUUUCACCGGGGAUCUGUAAUUUUCUAUUGAUGAAAAUCUGCCUUUCCUGAUUUGCAGAGUUAUCUGUCUUUCUAAACUUCAGGGCUCUUGCCAAAUUCGCAGGCAGCCCUGUAGAAGUGCCUCGUCCCACAAGAGCCAUGUAUUUUAAUAUGAAGUAGUUUUCUGUGCCCUGGAUCCAGGAGCAGUUCUCCACGCUGACAACCCAUAAAAGACCUAAUGACCCAUCUGAGGAACGUUAACCAGCCCGUUGGCCAUUUGAGACAGUGCAUUUGUUUGUUUUUUAGCCCCCUGCUCGGUAGUCUAAUUUCUGGAGAGGAUCUUUGGGGUCGGGUUGGAUCUUCAGAGCCUUUUAGCGUUGCGUAAUUAAAAAUCACACUGAAGGGUGGCUUAGCCUUUAAUUUUUAAAGCCUGAGGUGUCAAGUCCUGGGCAGCCAAGCCUUGUUAAACAGCCGGGGGUGGCUUCUGGCUUUGCCCCCCCAGCCCUCUGCCCAAAUCCCAUGUUUCUGGCUGUGAGUUAAUUCCAGCAUCUCAGCCCCACCACCCCGGGGCCGUUCUUGAGAGCAGGGUUUGGUGGGAGCCCACACGCCUGUGGAUAAAUAAACACCUUUGCAAGCUGCA